ACCAAUUCUGAAGGAUUAAAAAACUGUUCCUUUAGGUAUAAUGGCAUUGACGCAAGAUUACGUUGUGGUAUAUCCUGAUCAUUUGGCUUUAAAACCAUGUUAUUUGAUCCUGGAAAUGCCUCGUACAUAU
Small nucleolar RNA from Capsella rubella, 130 nucleotides. The record is from Rfam. NCBI's taxonomy places the organism in Eukaryota, Viridiplantae, Streptophyta, Magnoliopsida, Brassicales, Brassicaceae.